UGAAGCGGGAAAAGCUCAAAUUUGAAAUCUGGCAGUCGUCUGGCUGUCCGAGUUGUAAUCUAGAGAAGUGUUACCCGCGUUGGACCGUGUAUAAGUCUCCUGGAAUGGAGCGUCGUAGAGGGUGAGAAUCCCGUCUUUGACACGGACUGCCAAGGCUUUUGUGGUGCGCUCUCAAAGAGUCGAGUUGUUUGGGAAUGCAGCUCAAAAUGGGUGGUAAAUGCCAUCUAAAGCUAAAUACAGGCGAGAGACCGAUAGCGAACAAGUACCGUGAGGGAAAGAUGAAAAGAACUUUGGAAAGAGAGUUAAACAGUACGUGAAAUUGCUGAAAGGGAAACGCUUGAAGUCAGUCACAUUGGCUAGGAAUCAACCUUGCUUUUGCUGGGUGUACUUUCUGGUCAAUGGGUCAGCAUCAAUUUUGACCACUGGAUAAAGUCAUCGGGAAUGUGGCAUCUUUGGAUGUGUUAUAGCCCUUUGUUGAAUACAGUGGUUGGGAUUGAGGAACUCAGCACGCCGAAAWGGCCGGGUUUCGACCACGUUCGUGCUUAGGAUGCUGGCAUAAUGGCUUUAAUCGACCCGUCUUGAAACACGGACCAAGGAGUCUAACAUGCCUGCGAGUGUUUGGGUGGAAAACCCGAGCGCGUAAUGAAAGUGAAAGUUGAGAUCCCUGUCGUGGGGAGCAUCGACGCCCGGACCAGACCUUUUGUGACGGAUCCGCGGUAGAGCAUGUGUGUUGGGACCCGAAAGAUGGUGAACUAUGCCUGAAUAGGGUGAAGCCAGAGGAAACUCUGGUGGAGGCUCGUAGCGAUUCUGACGUGCAAAUCGAUCGUCAAAUUUGGGUAUAGGGGCGAAAGACUAAUCGAACCAUCUAGUAG
RNAcentral lists this ribosomal RNA (872 nucleotides) under Neopaxillus echinospermus. RNAcentral's name for it is "eukaryotic LSU rRNA". It matches the Rfam family "Eukaryotic large subunit ribosomal RNA", at positions 94 to 950 of the family's 3401-position model. Lineage: Eukaryota; Fungi; Basidiomycota; Agaricomycetes; Agaricales. The record is from RNAcentral.